Molecule: small RNA, 632 nt
Filed under: Arabidopsis thaliana (thale cress)
Lineage: Eukaryota; Viridiplantae; Streptophyta; Magnoliopsida; Brassicales; Brassicaceae
Description: ATSL114060
Source: RNAcentral
AUAACAAAAAUCUGUUGUAAAACACCAGAUUUGUUAACAAGUUAAUUAAAUCUGUGAUUACACAAAACAACUCUGUCAUGCCUAUAUAACAUUUUUCGAGGUUAACAAAUAUGUUGUAACACAACAGAUUUUUGGGUGCAAAUAGAAAAUCUGUUGCCACCAUAAAGAAAAAUCUGUGGUCCGGAAAACAAAUCAGUGACAUAUUUGGUUUCAACAUUCUUACUUUUGAAAUUUAAAUAAAAUCUGUGGAGACUAUAUGAAACAAAUCAGUCACGGUUAAAAAAUCUGCGGAAAAAAAAAAUCUGGCGUAACAUAACACAGUAAAGUCUGUGGUACAAGACAAGUCUGUUGUAAAAAAUCUGUGGUUGACCAACAAAUCUGUGAUCGAUAACAAAUCCGUCGCAACAAGAGCCACAGAUUUACCAAAAACGACGAUGGCAUUUUCGUAAAUAAAUGUGGUUUUAUUGCCUUGCUGGAAUUAAAUAGUAAUGGCAUUUCUGUAAUAUUGUUUUUCUCUGCAAAAGAAAACAAGGAUAAUUUAGGUAUAAUUAUUACUCAAAUAACUCAUAUUUUUAGCAUUCCUUUUAGGUAAUUAUGUAUAAAAUAUGGGUUACUCUAGUAAAUUUCCCUUU